This 553-nucleotide ribosomal RNA is filed under the name uncultured Gigasporaceae. RNAcentral describes it as "SSU rRNA". It matches the Rfam family "Eukaryotic small subunit ribosomal RNA", at positions 548 to 1099 of the family's 1831-position model. The record is from RNAcentral. Lineage: Eukaryota; Fungi; Glomeromycota; Glomeromycetes; Diversisporales; Gigasporaceae.
UUGGAGGGCAAGUCUGGUGCCAGCAGCCGCGGUAAUUCCAGCUCCAAUAGCGUAUAUUAAAGUUGUUGCAGUUAAAAAGCUCGUAGUUGAAUUUCGGGGUUCUACCGUUGGUCGGGCAAUAGUCUGUACUGGCGUGUAGAAUUUCUACCUUCUGGGGAACCAUCAUGUUAUUUAUUUAGCGUGGUGGGAAACCAGGACCUUUACCUUGAAAAAAUUAGAGUGUUCAAAGCAGGCUUACGUCUGAAUACAUUAGCAUGGAAUAAUAAAAUAGGACGGUGGUCCUGUUUUGUUGGUUUCUGAAUCACCGUAAUGAUUAAUAGGGAUAGUUGGGGGCAUUAGUAUUCAAUUGUCAGAGGUGAAAUUCUUGGAUUUAUUGAAGACUAACUUCUGCGAAAGCAUUUGCCAAGGAUGUUUUCAUUAAUCAAGAACGAAAGUUAGGGGAUCGAAGACGAUCAGAUACCGUCGUAGUCUUAACCAUAAACUAUGCCGACUAGGGAUCGGACGAUGUUAAUUUUUACUUUGUACUCGUUCGGUCGGCCUUACCGGGUAAACG